This 400-nucleotide ribosomal RNA is filed under the name phytoplankton environmental sample. RNAcentral's name for it is "partial small subunit ribosomal RNA". It matches the Rfam family "Eukaryotic small subunit ribosomal RNA", at positions 587 to 986 of the family's 1831-position model. The record is from RNAcentral.
AGCUCCAAUAGCGUAUAUUAAAGUUGUUGCGGUUAAAAAGCUCGUAGUUGGAUCUCGGCGGGCAGGGGGUGGUUCGCUCUUCAGCGCUACUGCCCCGCUUUGCCCGUGUGAUUGGCGGAGGUUUCGGGGUGCUCUUCGUUGAGUGACUCGGAGCGCCGUCAGGUUUACUUUGAAAAAAUUAGAGUGCUCAAAGCAGGCUUUUCACGCUUGAAUAUUCGUGCAUGGAAUAAUGGAAUAGGAACUCGUUUCUAUUUUGUUGGUUUUCGGAAAUCGAGUUAAUGAUUAACAGGGACAAUUGGGGGCAUUAGUAUUCAGACGACAGAGGUGAAAUUCUUGGACCGUCUGAAGACUGACUACUGCGAAAGCAUUUGCCAAGAGUGUUUUCAUUAAUCAAGAACGA